RNAcentral lists this long non-coding RNA (206 nucleotides) under Prunus persica (peach). RNAcentral's name for it is "long non-coding RNA (PPER_LNC008604)". The record is from RNAcentral. Lineage: Eukaryota; Viridiplantae; Streptophyta; Magnoliopsida; Rosales; Rosaceae.
UGAUACUUUUUUCAAUCAAACUGGACACUCCUAGCCUUUAAUGUUGCCAACCCUAGCUUACGCUACAGACGGGUAUGGUUGAAUCAGUUUAGUUUUCCUGACUCAUGUUUUGGCAGAUACUUUGUGUCCAUUCGAAUCCUCAAUCUCUAAUGUGAAGUCUCAUACUUUUUCCACUCAAAUUGGAAACUCCUAGCCUUUGGUGUGGC